CGGCGGCUCGAGUGGUGGCCACUAUUAUUGGGCUUAAAGCGUCCGUAGCUGGACCGAUAAGUCUCUUGGGAAAUCCGCCGGCUUAACCGGCGGGCGUCCAGGAGAUACUGUUGGUCUAGGGACCGGGAGAGGUGAGAGGUACUCCGGGGGUAGGAGUGAAAUCCUGUAAUCCCCGGGGGACCACCGAUGGCGAAGGCAUCUCACCAGAACGGCUCCGACAGUGAGGGACGAAAGCUGGGGGAGCGAACCGGAUUAGAGACCCGAGUAGUCC
Molecule: ribosomal RNA, 271 nt
Filed under: uncultured archaeon
Lineage: Archaea
Description: partial 16S ribosomal RNA
Rfam family: Archaeal small subunit ribosomal RNA
Source: RNAcentral